This 253-nucleotide ribosomal RNA is filed under the name uncultured bacterium. Its description in RNAcentral is "partial 16S ribosomal RNA". It matches the Rfam family "Bacterial small subunit ribosomal RNA", at positions 524 to 776 of the family's 1533-position model. The record is from RNAcentral.
UACGUAGGCAGCGAGCGUUGUUCGGAGUUACUGGGCGUAAAGAGUGCGUAGGCGGGUUUCUAAGUUUGGUGUGAAAUCUCCCGGCUUAACUGGGAGGGUGCGCCGAAAACUGGAAGGCUUGAGUAUGGGAGAGGUAAGCGGAAUUCCUGGUGUAGCGGUGAAAUGCGUAGAUAUCAGGAGGAACACCUGCGGUGUAGACGGCUUACUGGACCAUAACUGACGCUGAGGCACGAAAGCGUGGGUAGCAAACAGG